AGGAAUGUGUAGAUUAUAUAAACCAAAGGUGUGUCCUAGUGCCAUUAAUCUUCUAGUGAUGCAGAUUCUAUCCAACUCGAGUCAUGGAUCUGGAAUUCUGGAAUUGGUUCAGCGAAGUCUAGAUAGUUUUGGAAUUGAAGUAUUACUUUCUAUUGAUGAGGCGAUUUCUGUUUAAAUUCAUCUUAUUAGAUGAAUAUAAUUUCGUCAUUGGAUAUGGAAGAGGUGGUGGCACAAAAAGACGACUUCCCGAUAACCUCAUAUUGAAAAUGUACGCGGAAUGUGAAUGUUGAGCAAUGAAGCGGCUGAAGCUAUGCUGACGUAAAGAAACGUGCAACAGAGACCAAGAUACAAAAGUUCUGGUGGAGUCCUUUCACAUUGAGACCGCUUUUCCAAAGGCAACUGAAAUGACCCAGUGAGAAAUGGGAUACAUAUUGACUUCAGGAAUUUAAUUCCUGAAGUCAAACAACCAAAAGCAACCCUGAGGAGGGACUGAACAAACAAGAGCUAAAUUAUCCAGUUUGAAAAAAGGUAUUCUACUUUUAAUACUUUAAAGGGUUGUGAAUGCUGAGCAAGUUGAAGCUUUGCUAUCUUCAAGAGACCUUGACGCAAAAGCUCGGGCUCUUUUAGGCCUCUCGUAUUCAGCCCAACAUCCAGAAGGCAACAGAAAUUAUAUCCAGUUUGAAGUGACGAGACUCGUUCACUUCAGGAAAAGAGGAGGAAACCUUUAGGAGGGAUGCGCAAUACGACAACUUUCAAGAGAAAUACGUGGUGAAACUUCAGGGAAGGAGGAAGGAAAACAUGGUAGAGGAAUGAAGGAUGUUGACAAUUUUGAAGAAAAAAUCAAGCAAAAUACUUUGGGGUGAAGAAAAACCACGAGGAAAGGAGGAAGAAAAACCACGAAAA
This is a long non-coding RNA of Macrobrachium nipponense, 903 nucleotides long. RefSeq lists it as uncharacterized. The record is from RefSeq and is a predicted model, not a curated record. The transcript has 4 exons. Lineage: Eukaryota; Metazoa; Arthropoda; Malacostraca; Decapoda; Palaemonidae.